AUAGACGAGUAUGGAUGUGGUGCACGUGCGUCUUAUCAUUUCGUGACUAGAUACAUACUCGUCUACG
RNAcentral lists this microRNA precursor (67 nucleotides) under Pseudoatta argentina. The record is from RNAcentral. Lineage: Eukaryota; Metazoa; Arthropoda; Insecta; Hymenoptera; Formicidae.